CUCCGGUUGAUCCCGCCGGACCUGACUGCUAUCGGAUUGGUACUAAGCCAUGCGAGUCAUUGUAGCAAUACAAGGCGGACGGCUCAGUAACACGUAGUCAACCUAACUCGUGGACGUGGAUAACCUCGGGAAACUGAGAAUAAACCACGAUAGAUCAUAGUGCCUGGAAUGGCUUAUGGUCCAAACAGUUUACUGCCAUGGGAUGGGACUGCGGCCUAUCAGCUUGUUGGUGAGGUAAUGGCCCACCAAGGCGAUUACAGGUACGGGCUCUGAGAGGAGAAGCCCGGAGAUGGGUACUGAGACACGGACCCAGGCCCUAUGGGGCGCAGCAGGCGAGAAACCUUAGCAAUGUGCGAAAGCACGACUGGGUCAGUCCGAGUGAUUCCUGAUAAAGGAGUCUUUUGCUUGUCCUAAAAGCACAGGUGAAUAAGGGGUGGGCAAGUCUGGUGUCAGCCGCCGCGGUAAUACCAGCACCUCGAGUGGUCAGGACGUUUAUUGGGCCUAAAGCAUCCGUAGCCGGCUUUGCAAGUCUUCGGUUAAAUCCACCUGCUCAACAGAUGGGCUGCUGGAGAUACUACAAAGCUAGGGAGUGGGAGAGGCAGACGGUAUUCAGUGGGUAGGGGUAAAAUCCUCUGAUCCAUUGAGGACCACCAGUGGCGAAGGCGGUCUGCCAGAACACGUUCGACGGUGAGGGAUGAAAGCUGGGGGAGCAAACCGGAUUAGAUACCCGGGUAGUCCCAGCUGUAAACGAUGCAAACUCGGUGAUGCAUUGGCUUAUGGCCAAUGCAGUGCCGCAGGGAAGCCGUUAAGUUUGCCGCCCGGGAAGUACGGACGCAAGUCUGAAACUUAAAGGAAUUGGCGGGGGAGCA
RNAcentral lists this ribosomal RNA (869 nucleotides) under uncultured archaeon. RNAcentral describes it as "bacterial SSU rRNA". It matches the Rfam family "Archaeal small subunit ribosomal RNA", at positions 1 to 878 of the family's 1478-position model. The record is from RNAcentral.